GCAAACUGGCCUUCCCCACGGAGGAGCUCAUGCUGGAAUGCAUGCAGACGCCGCGCUUCAUUUUCCUUUCAGCACAAGCCUCCUUGGAAUAGCCGGGUUACUGGCAGCCUCCCUGAACCAGUGCCAAACUGUGACUUUCAGUGCAGGAUCUGUGACUAACCCAGCGCUAACCAGUAGCCUUGCCCAAAGGAAAACAGUUGAAAUGAAGCAUGAAAUCAUCCCUCACGAACAUACAUCACAGGUGCCCCGUUCAAGAAAAAAUGCCAAGUGAGCUUGGAGGCAGCCUCACAUGAAAAAG
Molecule: long non-coding RNA, 298 nt
Organism: Cavia porcellus (domestic guinea pig)
Lineage: Eukaryota; Metazoa; Chordata; Mammalia; Rodentia; Caviidae
Exons: 2
Source: RefSeq, a predicted model, not a curated record